AUGAACGCUAGCUACAGGCUUAACACAUGCAAGUCGAGGGGAAACGACAUCGAAAGCUUGCUUUUGAUGGGCGUCGACCGGCGCACGGGUGAGUAACGCGUAUCCAACCUGCCCACCACUUGGGGAUAACCUUGCGAAAGUAAGACUAAUACCCAAUGAUAUCUCUAGAAGACAUCUGAAAGAGAUUAAAGAUUUAUCGGUGAUGGAUGGGGAUGCGUCUGAUUAGCUUGUUGGCGGGGUAACGGCCCACCAAGGCAACGAUCAGUAGGGGUUCUGAGAGGAAGGUCCCCCACAUUGGAACUGAGACACGGUCCAAACUCCUACGGGAGGCAGCAGUGAGGAAUAUUGGUCAAUGGACGAGAGUCUGAACCAGCCAAGUAGCGUGCAGGAAGACGGCCCUAUGGGUUGUAAACUGCUUUUAUAAGGGAAUAAAGUGAGUCUCGUGAGACUUUUUGCAUGUACCUUAUGAAUAAGGACCGGCUAAUUCCGUG
This 491-nucleotide ribosomal RNA is filed under the name uncultured bacterium. RNAcentral's name for it is "partial 16S ribosomal RNA". It matches the Rfam family "Bacterial small subunit ribosomal RNA", at positions 29 to 507 of the family's 1533-position model. The record is from RNAcentral.